This 492-nucleotide ribosomal RNA is filed under the name uncultured bacterium. RNAcentral's name for it is "partial 16S ribosomal RNA". It matches the Rfam family "Bacterial small subunit ribosomal RNA", at positions 28 to 507 of the family's 1533-position model. The record is from RNAcentral.
GAUGAACGCUAGCUACAGGCUUAACACAUGCAAGUCGAGGGGAAACGACAUCGAAAGCUUGCUUUUGAUGGGCGUCGACCGGCGCACGGGUGAGUAACGCGUAUCCAACCUGCCCAUCACUUGGGAAUAACCUUGCGAAAGUAAGACUAAUACCCAAUGACAUCCCACGAAGACAUCUGAAUGGGAUUAAAGAUUUAUCGGUGACGGAUGGGGAUGCGUCUGAUUAGCUUGUUGGCGGGGUAACGGCCCACCAAGGCAACGAUCAGUAGGGGUUCUGAGAGGAAGGUCCCCCACAUUGGAACUGAGACACGGUCCAAACGCCUACGGGAGGCAGCAGUGAGGAAUAUUGGUCAAUGGGCGAGAGCCUGAACCAGCCAAGUAGCGUGCAGGAUGACGGCCCUAUGGGUUGUAAACUGCUUUUAUAAGGGAAUAAAGUGGGUCUCGUGAGACUUUUUGCAUGUACCUUAUGAAUAAGGACCGGCUAAUUCCGUG